Temnothorax curvispinosus is the source of this 563-nucleotide long non-coding RNA. RefSeq lists it as uncharacterized. The transcript is spliced from 3 exons. NCBI's taxonomy places the organism in Eukaryota, Metazoa, Arthropoda, Insecta, Hymenoptera, Formicidae. The record is from RefSeq and is a predicted model, not a curated record.
AUCGCGCAAAACUCGGCAAGUAACGAUUCUUGAGUUGUCGAGGCAGAAUAGGAACUACAACCUCGUUUACGGCUGGCUCAUAUUCAGAGGCUGGAAUAAAGCAAUAAGGAAGGAAAGUUUCGAAGGGCGAGCCAACCGAUCGAUCGGAUUCAGGAAAUUUCACGAGAGAAAGCCAAACGACAAUAGGAAAUAGAACAUAAACGAGAAAGGAAGACAAAGGGAGAGAAAUACUAAGCGUAAACAGAGUCCGAGAUAUCAAAGGAAGAAUGAACAAUGGACAUCAAGUUAGUCAACAAUUAGUUCCGUUUUGUGAUCGCAUUCUAUAUUUAACGUCCGCCCGCGAAUCGGUGUGGAACAAAAGGACAGAAAACUCAUAAAUAAUAUUGCGUCCCACAAUAUUUCGCGCAAAGCCACACAAAACCGUAUUGUGCAACGGAAUCUCAGUGUUGGUGUAUAAUGAUAAACGCUGCUUAAUCUCUUGUUGGCAUUCCGUUGGCAAUGAGAUAAAUCUUAUAAGAAAUUAUUUGAAUAUAAAAUGUUUAUGUAUUAUUAUUUUUAAUCUG